CUUCCUAUUUGUCAUCUGAAAACCUUUUUUGUGCUGAACAAAAGUAUGAGUUGAUAUAGUUGCAUAAAAGGUCGUUGUUUCAGAGUAAAGGCAUCAUUUCGAGUAUCGAAUUGCACAUCGCUAAAGAUGAAAAUUGUAUUGCUUUUGAGCGUUGUCGCCACUGUGGUGGUUCUGUGCCAAUCCCAAGCAGAUGGUUCGCUCAAGCAGGGCGACGAAUGCACUGCUUCUUUCCAGUGCGCGGCCCCAUUGAUCUGCAACGAGUGGAAAAAUGGCCCCAAUCGUUGUCAACCCCGUGAAUGCAAACCGACGGGUGAGCGAUGUGGCUUCUUCCAAGGACGUUGCUGUACGUGUGAGUAUGCGUAUUGCUACAAAUUACCGGGAAUGGACAAGUCCACGUGUACACCAUUGGAACUGAUUCCAGUGGCAGACCGAGAACAAGUGAGAAUGUUCAAUGUUUAAAAGUGGACCAAUCAACAUCGAGAAUAAAACAGUUCUGUAGCAUUUCAAA
This is a long non-coding RNA of Tigriopus californicus, 508 nucleotides long. RefSeq lists it as uncharacterized. The transcript has 3 exons. The record is from RefSeq and is a predicted model, not a curated record. Lineage: Eukaryota; Metazoa; Arthropoda; Copepoda; Harpacticoida; Harpacticidae.